ACAAGUUAAAAUCUCUAUAGUGCAGAUCCUGUUUAUAGAAAAAGUAGGGCUCAUACAAACACACUCCAACACUAAAACUUAAACACAGUCUCAGAGAUCAUUCAUGUUCUUCUCUCUCUGCAGGCUGAGUUACUGCAGUAUUGAAGAGGAAGGCUGUGCUGCUCUGAUUUCAGCUCUGAGAUCAAACCCCUCACACCUGACAGAACUGAAUCUGAGAGGUAAUAAACCAAGAGACUCAGGAGUGAAGCUGCUCUCUGCUCUACUGGAGGAUCCACACUGUAAACUGAAGAAACUACAUAUUUGACAGUGGAAACUCCACGAGCUCCAAACAACUGAAUCAAAACAACACGUCUUGAACAAGACUGUCACCUGGACAUUAACCCCCUGGGGUCGAAGAAUCAGUGCGGUCUGUGUAAUAUUUUCUUGAUGACCGCGAACAGAACUAAAAAUACUUUGAUCAUUUUUGAUCAUACAGAUAAGAAUAAGGUAUUGUUUUAAACUGGACAUGGUGUACUUUUAUAUUACCGGUGCUGUCUGUCAGGUAUUUUAUAGAUGGAUUGUGUAUAAAUGUUAUGUUUAAAUAUAACAUUUUAAUAUAGAAAUAUUUAAUGAUUGCAAAAAUGAAAUAAGAUACUUUUUGUAAUGUGGUGUUUGGGUUUUGUUUCAUGUUCUUUUUUUCAUGUCUCUUAUUUUGUAGUUUGUUUCUUGCUGUGUGUCAUACUUCUCUUCCCCUCAUGUAUCUCUGCCUUGUGGAUGUGUCGUGUUCUGAUUGGUUUAUUGUCUUAUCAUGUGAUUAUCUGUUUGCUCAUUAGUUUGUUCAUGUCAUGUGACCCUCAUUGUCUGUUAUAAGUACUCAUGUUUUUGCCACUGUCCCUUGUCAUGUAUUAAUGUUGUAACCUGCUGUCGGUGAGUCUACUCUGUUCAUGCCUCGUCAAUCAAGUCUAGUCAAGUCUGUUCAAGUCAAGUCUUUGUUUAUUGUUUGUUUAUUGUUUGGAUUUUGGAUCACUCUGUAAAUAAACAGCACUUGGGUUCUC
Carassius auratus (goldfish) is the source of this 1034-nucleotide long non-coding RNA. RefSeq lists it as uncharacterized. The record is from RefSeq and is a predicted model, not a curated record. The transcript has 2 exons. NCBI's taxonomy places the organism in Eukaryota, Metazoa, Chordata, Actinopteri, Cypriniformes, Cyprinidae.